UACAGAGGGGGCAAGCGUUGUUCGGAAUUACUGGGCGUAAAGGGCGCGUAGGCGGCCUGCUAAGUCGAACGUGAAAUCCCCGGGCUCAACCCGGGAACUGCGUCCGAUACUGGCGGGCUUGAAUUCGGGAGAGGGAUGUGGAAUUCCAGGUGUAGCGGUGAAAUGCGUAGAUAUCUGGAGGAACACCGGUGGCGAAGGCGGCAUCCUGGUCCGAUAUUGACGCUGAUGCGCGAAAGCCAGGGGAGCAAACGGG
RNAcentral lists this ribosomal RNA (253 nucleotides) under uncultured bacterium. RNAcentral's name for it is "partial 16S ribosomal RNA". It matches the Rfam family "Bacterial small subunit ribosomal RNA", at positions 524 to 776 of the family's 1533-position model. The record is from RNAcentral.